Molecule: ribosomal RNA, 253 nt
Filed under: uncultured prokaryote
Description: partial 16S ribosomal RNA
Rfam family: Bacterial small subunit ribosomal RNA
Source: RNAcentral
UACGUAGGGUGCAAGCGUUAAUCGGAAUUACUGGGCGUAAAGCGCGCGUAGGCGGGUUCUUAAGUGAGGGGUGAAAGGUUCGGGCUCAACCCGAACACUGCCUUUCAUACUGGGAGCCUUGAGUGCGGGAGAGGCGAGUGGAAUGGUCGGUGUAGCGGUGAAAUGCGUAGAUAUCGAUCGGAAUACCCAUGGCGAAGGCAGCUCGCUGGCCUGCAACUGACGCUGAGGCGCGAAAGCGUGGGGAGCAAACAGG